RNAcentral lists this ribosomal RNA (253 nucleotides) under uncultured bacterium. Its description in RNAcentral is "partial 16S ribosomal RNA". It matches the Rfam family "Bacterial small subunit ribosomal RNA", at positions 524 to 776 of the family's 1533-position model. The record is from RNAcentral.
UACGUAGGGUGCGAGCGUUAAUCGGAAUUACUGGGCGUAAAGCGUGCGCAGGCGGUUGUGCAAGACAGAUGUGAAAUCCCCGGGCCCAACCUGGGAAUUGCAUUUGUGACUGUACGGCUAGAGUGUGUCAGAGGGGGGUAGAAUUCCACGUGUAGCAGUGAAAUGCGUAGAGAUGUGGAGGAAUACCGAUGGCGAAGGCAGCCCCCUGGGAUAACACUGACGCUCAUGCACGAAAGCGUGGGGAGCAAACAGG